GAUGAACGCUGGCGGCGUGCCUAAUACAUGCAAGUCGAGCGAACAGACGAGGAGCUUGCUCCUCUGACGUUAGCGGCGGACGGGUGAGUAACACGUGGAUAACCUACCUAUAAGACUGGGAUAACUUCGGGAAACCGGCGCUAAUACCGGAUAAUAUAUUGAACCGCAUGGUUCAAUAGUGAAAGACGGUUUUGCUGUCUCUUAUAGAUGGAUCCUCGCCGCAUUAGAUAGUUGGUAAGGUAACGGCUUACCAAGGCAACGAUGCGUAGCCGACCUGAGAGGGUGACAGGCCACACUGGAACGGAGGCACGGUCAAGACACAUAAGGAACGACGCAGUAGGGAAUAUUCCGCAAUGGGCGAAAGCCUGACGGAGCAACGCAGCGUGAGUGAUGAAGGUCUUCGGCACGUAAAGCUCUGUUAUUAGGGAAGAACAAAUGUGUAAGUACCUAAGCACGUCUUAACGGUACCUAAUCAGAAAGCCACGGCUAACUACGUG
This 497-nucleotide ribosomal RNA is filed under the name uncultured bacterium. RNAcentral's name for it is "partial 16S ribosomal RNA". It matches the Rfam family "Bacterial small subunit ribosomal RNA", at positions 28 to 507 of the family's 1533-position model. The record is from RNAcentral.